RNAcentral lists this ribosomal RNA (465 nucleotides) under uncultured bacterium. Its description in RNAcentral is "partial 16S ribosomal RNA". It matches the Rfam family "Bacterial small subunit ribosomal RNA", at positions 28 to 507 of the family's 1533-position model. The record is from RNAcentral.
GACGAACGCUGGCGGCGUGCUUAACACAUGCAAGUCGAACGGAAAGGCCCCUUUGGGGGUACUCGAGUGGCGAACGGGUGAGUAACACGUGAGUAACCUGCCCUUGACUUCGGGAUAACUUCAGGAAACUGGGGCUAAUACCGGAUAGGAAUCCUUGCUGCAUGGUGGGGGUUGGAAAGCUUCGGCGGGUUUGGAUGGACUCGCGGCGUAUCAGCUUGUUGGUGGGGUAGUGGCUUACCAAGGCUGUGACGGGUAGCCGGCCUGUGGGGGCGACCGGCCACAUUGGGACUUAGAGACGGCCCCGACUCCGACGGGAGGCAGCAGGGGGGAAGAUUGCCCGAUCGGCGGCAGCCUGAUGCAGCAACGCCGCGGGCCGGAUGACGGCCUUAGGGUUGUAAACCGCUUUCAGCAGGGGCGAAGCUUGUGGUGACGGUACCUGCAGAAGAAGCACCGGCUAACUACGUG